Molecule: ribosomal RNA, 289 nt
Filed under: uncultured bacterium
Lineage: Bacteria
Description: partial 16S ribosomal RNA
Rfam family: Bacterial small subunit ribosomal RNA
Source: RNAcentral
AACGAACGCUGGCGGUAUGCUUAACACAUGCAAGUCGAACGAGAACGUUCCUUCGGGAAUUAGUAGAGUGGCAGACGGGUGCGUAACACGUGGGAACCUACCUUAUAGUACGGAAUAGCCCCGGGAAACUGGGAUUAAUACCGUAUACGCCCUUCGGGGGAAAGAUUUAUCGCUAUAAGAUGGGCCCGCGGCUGAUUAGCUUGUUGGUGAGGUAAUGGCUCACCAAGGCAACGAUCAGUAGCUGGUUUGAGAGGAUGAUCAGCCACACUGGGACUGAGACACGGCCCAG